UAAGUGACUAAGCGUACACGGUGGAUGCCUUGGCAGUCAGAGGCGAUGAAAGACGUAGUAACUUGCGAUAAGCCCAGAUUAGGUAGUAACAACCAUUUGAGUCUGGGAUUUCUGAAUGGGGAAACCCACGUGCAUAAGCACGUAUCCUUACCUGAAUACAUAGGGUAAGGAGGCGAACCGGGGGAACUGAAACAUCUAAGUACCCCGAGGAAAAGAAAUCAACCGAGAUUCCGAAAGUAGCGGCGAGCGAAAUUGGACUAGCCCUUAAGCUUUACACGCGUUAGACGAACGGUCUGGAAAGUCCGACGAUACAGGGUGAUAGUCCCGUAGUUGACGACGUGUGUUCAGUGAAAUCGAGUAGGGCGGGACACGUGAUAUCCUGUCUGAAUAUGGGGGGACCAUCCUCCAAGGCUAAAUACUACUGACUGACCGAUAGUGAACCAGUACCGUGAGGGAAAGGCGAAAAGAACCCCUGUGAGGGGAGUGAAAUAGAACCUGAAACCGUGUACGUACAAGCAGUAGGAGCAGGCUUUGUCCUGUGACUGCGUACCUUUUGUAUAAUGGGUCAGCGACUUAUAUUCAGUGGCAAGGUUAACCAUCUAGGGGAGCCGUAGGGAAACCGAGUCUUAACUGGGCGUUCAGUCUCUGGAUAUAGACCCGAAACCAGGUGAUCUAGCCAUGGGCAGGUUGAAGGUUGAGUAACAUCAACUGGAGGACCGAACCGACUAAUGUUGAAAAAUUAGCGGAUGACUUGUGGCUAGGGGUGAAAGGCCAAUCAAACCUGGAGAUAGCUGGUUCUCCCCGAAAGCUAUUUAGGUAGCGCCUCGGACGAAUACUACUGGGGGUAGAGCACUGUUAAGGCUAGGGGGUCAUCCCGACUUACCAACCCUUUGCAAACUCCGAAUACCAGUAAGUACUAUCCGGGAGACACACGGCGGGUGCUAACGUCCGUCGUGGAGAGGGAAACAACCCAGACCGCCAGCUAAGGUCCCAAAUUACUACUAAGUGGGAAACGAUGUGGGAAGGCUCAGACAGCCAGGAUGUUGGCUUAGAAGCAGCCAUCAUUUAAAGAAAGCGUAAUAGCUCACUGGUCGAGUCGGCCUGCGCGGAAGAUGUAACGGGGCUAAGUAGUAAACCGAAGCUGCGGCAAUAUACUUUUGUAUAUUGGGUAGGGGAGCGUUCUGUAAGCGGUUGAAGGUGUGUGGUAACGCAUGCUGGACGUAUCAGAAGUGCGAAUGCUGACAUGAGUAACGAUAAAGGGGGUGAAAAACCUCCUCGCCGGAAGACCAAGGGUUCCUGUCCAACGUUAAUCGGGGCAGGGUAAGUCGACCCCUAAGGCGAGGCCGAAAGGCGUAGUCGAUGGGAAACGGGUUAAUAUUCCCGUACUUCUUACAAUUGCGAUGGGGGGACGGAGAAGGCUAGGUGGGCCUGGCGACGGUUGUCCAGGUUCAAGUGCGUAGGCUUAAGAGUUAGGUAAAUCCGGCUCUUUCUAAGGCUGAGACACGACGUCGAGCACCUACGGGUGUGAAGUCAUUGAUGCCAUGCUUCCAGGAAAAGCCUCUAAGCUUCAGAUUGUAAGGAAUCGUACCCCAAACCGACACAGGUGGUCGGGUAGAGAAUACCAAGGCGCUUGAGAGAACUCGGGUGAAGGAACUAGGCAAAAUGGUACCGUAACUUCGGGAGAAGGUACGCUCUUGAUGGUGAAGUCCCUUGCGGAUGGAGCUGACGAGAGUCGCAGAUACCAGGUGGCUGCAACUGUUUAUUAAAAACACAGCACUGUGCAAAAUCGUAAGAUGACGUAUACGGUGUGACGCCUGCCCGGUGCCGGAAGGUUAAUUGAUGGGGUUAGACUUCGGUCGAAGCUCUUGAUCGAAGCCCCGGUAAACGGCGGCCGUAACUAUAACGGUCCUAAGGUAGCGAAAUUCCUUGUCGGGUAAGUUCCGACCUGCACGAAUGGCGUAAUGAUGGCCACGCUGUCUCCACCCGAGACUCAGUGAAAUUGAAAUCGCUGUGAAGAUGCAGUGUACCCGCGGCUAGACGGAAAGACCCCGUGAACCUUUACUACAGCUUGGCACUGAACAUUGACCCUACAUGUGUAGGAUAGGUGGGAGGCUUUGAAGCACGUACGCCAGUAUGUGUGGAGCCGUCCUUGAAAUACCACCCUUGUAGUGUUGAUGUUCUAACGUCGACCCCUUAUCGGGGUUGCGGACAGUGCCUGGUGGGUAGUUUGACUGGGGCGGUCUCCUCCCAAAGAGUAACGGAGGAGCACGAAGGUGGGCUAAUCACGGUUGGACAUCGUGAGGUUAGUGCAAUGGCAUAAGCCCGCUUGACUGCGAGAAUGACAAUUCGAGCAGGUGCGAAAGCAGGUCAUAGUGAUCCGGUGGUUCUGAAUGGAAGGGCCAUCGCUCAACGGAUAAAAGGUACUCCGGGGAUAACAGGCUGAUACCGCCCAAGAGUUCAUAUCGACGGCGGUGUUUGGCACCUCGAUGUCGGCUCAUCACAUCCUGGGGCUGAAGUCGGUCCCAAGGGUAUGGCUGUUCGCCAUUUAAAGUGGUACGCGAGCUGGGUUUAGAACGUCGUGAGACAGUUCGGUCCCUAUCUGCCGUGGGCGUUGGAAGAUUGAAGGGGGCUGCUCCUAGUACGAGAGGACCGGAGUGGACGAACCUCUGGUGUUCGGGUUGUGUCGCCAGACGCAUUGCCCGGUAGCUAAGUUCGGAAUCGAUAACCGCUGAAAGCAUCUAAGCGGGAAGCGAGCCCUGAGAUGAGUCUUCCCUGAUACUUUAAGUAUCCUAAAGGGUUGUCGGAGACUACGACGUUGAUAGGUCAGGUGUGUAAGUGCUGUGAGGCAUUGAGCUAACUGAUACUAAUUGCCCGUGAGGCUUAACCA
Molecule: ribosomal RNA, 2887 nt
Filed under: Vibrio parahaemolyticus 10290
Lineage: Bacteria; Pseudomonadati; Pseudomonadota; Gammaproteobacteria; Vibrionales; Vibrionaceae
Description: bacterial LSU rRNA
Rfam family: Bacterial large subunit ribosomal RNA
Source: RNAcentral